AACGUAGGGGGCGAGUGUUAUCCGGAAUUACUGGGCGUAAAGGGCGUGUAGGCGGUUAGGUGUAUCGGAGGUUAAAACCUAUGGCUCAACUGUAGGAAGUCUUUCGAGAUUACCUAACUAGAGGGUAGAAGAGGGAGAUGGAAUUUCCGGUGUAGCGGUGAAAUGCGUAGAUAUCGGGAAGAACGCCGGUGGUGAAGACGGUCUCCUGGGCUACACCUGACGCUGAGGCGCGAAAGCUAGGGGAGCGAACGGG
RNAcentral lists this ribosomal RNA (253 nucleotides) under uncultured bacterium. Its description in RNAcentral is "partial 16S ribosomal RNA". It matches the Rfam family "Bacterial small subunit ribosomal RNA", at positions 524 to 776 of the family's 1533-position model. The record is from RNAcentral.